GUGCUGCAACUUUCUCGCUAUGGGGUGUGAAAAAACACCCUCCUGAGCUCUGCAAGUUUCAGCGCUGUAAAGUGCCAGUGCAAACAAGCCCUAAUAUACUACUACAGUCCGAGUGUUGGGUUCCUGUGAUGUGGUAUUUGUGCAAUGACCAAAGAAGUAACUCAAGACAGGUGGAGCGGUCAUACAAAAGGUGUUUGUGGAACAGGUGAUAUUAAACAUGCAAGUUAUCUUUAUUUCAAACCAUAUUAGGAGAAGAAUGCGCUUUCAGCAAAUAAUAAUAUUUCCAAUACAUAAAUGAGAGGAUUAUCUGUGGCAUAGGAGCUGUGCAUUUUUGUUGAAAGAAUAGUCACUCUUAAAAUACCGCUAAAUGGAGAUUUUUCUUUUUACACUGUUUGUUGCCUUUCACUGUAUUUCAGUUAAAUAGUUUGACACCUCCAGCAAUAGUACUGUUUCAUUGGAACUUAAAUUCCAGUUAAAGUUGGCAGAGACAGUGAAGGCUCAAAUUAUGGUGUUCCAGCAUUUUCAGGUUCCUAUUCAGUUCUGUUGUGGGGCAGUUCCUGUAAACUUGAUGUCUGUCAAGUUUGAUUCCAAGUUAAGAACAUUUUAUAGCAGUUUUCUUUCUCUUUAAUGGUUGCAACAAAAGUUGUUCCAGCUCUGUUAGCAAGCAUCCACUCUAUAAAAGUACUAUCCACUUGAAUCUACAAAGAGCACUUAAUGAGGUGAAGCGCUGUGUUUUAAUUUAUCAAGUCUUUGUUACCAAGAGACUAGAUAGCAUGAAACAGUGUGACUGUCAGCUAGGAGUCAGUUAAUUUAGUUAUUUAUAGGGCUGUCAAGUGAUUAAAAAAAUAGAUUCGGAAUUAAUUGUGCAAUUAAAAAAUUGUAUUCUAUUUAAAUAUUUUUGUAUGUUUUCUACAUUUUCAAA
Molecule: long non-coding RNA, 922 nt
Organism: Dermochelys coriacea (leatherback sea turtle)
Lineage: Eukaryota; Metazoa; Chordata; Testudines; Dermochelyidae
Exons: 3
Source: RefSeq, a predicted model, not a curated record